RNAcentral lists this ribosomal RNA (253 nucleotides) under uncultured bacterium. Its description in RNAcentral is "partial 16S ribosomal RNA". It matches the Rfam family "Bacterial small subunit ribosomal RNA", at positions 524 to 776 of the family's 1533-position model. The record is from RNAcentral.
UACGUAGGGGGCAAGCGUUGUCCGGAAUUAUUGGGCGUAAAGAGCACGUAGGCGGUAAUAUAAGCUGGAUGUGAAAGGCUACGGCUCAACCGUAGAGCUGCAUCCAAAACUGUAUCAAUUGAGUGCAGAAGAGGAGAGUGGAAUUCCCGGUGUAGCGGUGGAAUGCGUAGAUAUCGGGAGGAACACCAGUGGCGAAGGCGACUCUCUGGUCUGUAACUGACGCUGAGGGGCGAAAGCGUGGGGAGCGAACAGG